AUACGGAGGAUCCGAGCGUUAUCCGGAUUUAUUGGGUUUAAAGGGUGCGCAGGCGGCCAUUUAAGUCAGCGGUUAAAUCGUGGGGCUCAACCCCAUUCUGCCGUUGAUACUGGGUGGCUUGAUUGCGGUCGAGGUUGGCGGAAUUCGUUGUGUAGCGGUGAAAUGCAUAGAUAUGACGAAGAACACCGAUUGCGUAGGCAGCUGACCAGACCGCAAAUGACGCUCAUGCACGAAAGUGCGGGGAUCGAACAGGAUUAGAUACCCUGGUAGUCCGCACAGUAAACGAUGAAUACUCGCUGUUUGCGAUACACUGUAAGCGGCCAAGCGAAAGCGUUAAGUAUUCCACCUGGGGAGUACGCCGGCAACGGUGAAACUCAAAUGAAUUGACGGGG
RNAcentral lists this ribosomal RNA (392 nucleotides) under uncultured bacterium. RNAcentral's name for it is "partial 16S ribosomal RNA". It matches the Rfam family "Bacterial small subunit ribosomal RNA", at positions 523 to 918 of the family's 1533-position model. The record is from RNAcentral.